RNAcentral lists this non-coding RNA (21 nucleotides) under Caenorhabditis elegans. The record is from RNAcentral. Lineage: Eukaryota; Metazoa; Nematoda; Chromadorea; Rhabditida; Rhabditidae.
UUCUUUUGGAUGAUAUUGCGU